Molecule: long non-coding RNA, 398 nt
Filed under: Gossypium barbadense (sea-island cotton)
Lineage: Eukaryota; Viridiplantae; Streptophyta; Magnoliopsida; Malvales; Malvaceae
Description: long non-coding RNA (GBAR_LNC004817)
Source: RNAcentral
AAGAUUAUCCAAUUCGAAAAGUUCGGAGCUUGCGUAACUAGCUGCGUCUUCCUCCUCCUCCUCCUCCUCCUCAUCAUCACUAUACUCUUCAAUAUUGCCGUACUCUUCCUUUUUCUUCUGGUAAUUCUUUAAAAGAUCCUUAGCAGCUUCCACAACUCGACGAUUUUCUUCCAUGAUGCGCAACUCUAACUCUUUGUCGAUUGGUUUUCUUAUGGAUGCUUGACUUUGAUGGUGAUCAUUUUUAUGCCCACAGGGCCUGGAAUAAUCCUCAUGAUCAAGACAAAACCUGACUGACCUUUUUGUCCCGUUGCCUCUUGAAGAUGGAGUCUUACUCAAACAGGAUCUUGAAAACGAGGAAGCUGAAGAACAUGUUGACGAUGUUGGUUGCUCAGAUUUUG